GGGCGUUUAGCUCAGCCUGGUUAGAGCGCUUCCCUUACAAGGAAGAAGUCGGCGGUUCGAAUCCGUCAACGCCCA
Molecule: transfer RNA, 75 nt
Filed under: bacterium
Lineage: Bacteria
Also listed under: 4 other names
Description: tRNA-Val
Rfam family: tRNA
About the family: Transfer RNA (tRNA) molecules are approximately 80 nucleotides in length. Their secondary structure includes four short double-helical elements and three loops (D, anti-codon, and T loops).
Source: RNAcentral